Molecule: ribosomal RNA, 253 nt
Filed under: uncultured bacterium
Lineage: Bacteria
Description: partial 16S ribosomal RNA
Rfam family: Bacterial small subunit ribosomal RNA
Source: RNAcentral
UACGGAGGGUGCAAGCGUUAUCCGGAUUCACUGGGUUUAAAGGGUGCGUAGGAGGGCAGGUAAGUCAGUGGUGAAAUCCUAGAGCUUAACUCUAGAACUGCCAUUGAUACUAUCUGUCUUGAAUACCGUGGAGAUGAGCGGAAUAUGUCAUGUAGCGGUGAAAUGCUUAGAUAUGACAUAGAACACCAAUUGCGAAGGCAGCUCGUUACACGAAUAUUGACUCUGAGGCACGAAAGCGUGGGGAUCAAACAGG